RNAcentral lists this non-coding RNA (24 nucleotides) under Cricetulus griseus (Chinese hamster). The record is from RNAcentral. Lineage: Eukaryota; Metazoa; Chordata; Mammalia; Rodentia; Cricetidae.
UACUCUUGACAGUGGGAUGACGAU